RNAcentral lists this long non-coding RNA (1014 nucleotides) under Struthio camelus australis. Its description in RNAcentral is "lncRNA (ENSSCUG00000011753.1)". Lineage: Eukaryota; Metazoa; Chordata; Aves; Struthioniformes; Struthionidae. The record is from RNAcentral.
CGGUACAGAGUUCCCUUCUAUGGGUCUAGUUUUCUUUGUCAAGGUCUGAUUGUCUAAGGUGCCAAGUUUCAUCGCUUGGCUUGGAUCUGCCUGCAGAUCAUCAAUUGCAAAAUCAGAACGAUUUCCCUCGUGAAGCAGAAGCUGCUCAUCUUUGUCUCGAGGAAAGACUACAACUUACAAUUCUGUCUUACCCUUUAGGGAAAACUGUCUUGCAUAGCUGUUGUGUAUAUAGCUGUAGGGCAGGGAGGCAAUCGAGUUUGACUUUGGCAGCAGCAAUGUAAUGGAAGGAAUUGUAUUUAUGCCUCUCUUAUGACAGUCAAUAGACAUCUUGAAAUAAAUUGGACUUGUGGAUACCUUGAUGAACCAGGAUACUGUAUUUCAAAUCUGAAAAUUCUUUUACAUCUAUAGUAUUGUGCUUCCUUUCCUUGUCCUAUGCCCUUUCUAAGCUUUUUUAUUUCAGCCUUUUGUUAGGGCUUUUUCUCACACAGAGAGUUUUUGUUCAAGUCUUGGCAGAGAUGUAGAUGAGCAGAGAUUGCCAAUUUUCAUCUGAACCUUGCUUUAUAAUGUUGAUUCUCUCUGCUACUGGGUGAGCUUUAGUUGUCAUAUAAAGUUUUGGGGAAUGGAAUGAAAAAUUGAUUUUCCUUUAGCGUCUCUGCAAUAAUAAUUUAAACAUCACUCUUUUCCUUUUGACAGCGCACAGAAAAAGUGAAGGGAGUUCAUCUCUCCUCCUUGCGAUUAAUGCCUGUUUUAUGUGUCGUUGUGUUUCGUGCCUUCGCUGGAGAUCAGCUGCUGCUCCGAAAACGAGCCAAAGCUAGUAUCAGUAUCUUCAAAUAUGAGAGUGAAUCAGCAUUCUACUUUGAGCCUCUAAUUUGGUUAUACCCACAGCUAAUUCUGAGAUGGCUGCUGCAGUGGUAGGUUGGAAGUGUUUCAAUUUCCUGAAAUUACACGAAGACAUUAAUUCAUAAUUCUGACCUCAACAAUAAAUGUUUCUUUUGUUAUGGUUGUCGGGGGCGG